GGGGGGGCUUCCCGGUGGAAUUUAGCAAAUCCAUUAAGGGGGGGAAAGGAAAUUACCAGGAUUUCCCUUGGAAAUGGGAGGGGAAGGGGAAAAAGUUAAAUUUAAAAUUUGGGGGUCCUUGGCCGUUCGAGGUGGAAAUUAAAGGAGGGUUUUUCCGGGUGGGCCGGGCCCCAGUUUCCCGGAAAGGAGGGUUGUAGAGGGGGAGAAUCCCGUUUUUGGCCAGGGAAGCCCCAGGGUUUUUGGGAUGCGCUUUCAAAGGGUGGAGUGGUUGGGGAAUGCAGUUCAAAAUGGGGGGUGAAUUCCAUUAAAAGUUAAAUAUGGGGGAGAGACGGAUAGGGACCAAGUCCCGGGAGGGAAAGAUGAAAACCACUUGGGAAAGAGAGGGAACCAGUAGGGGAAAUGGUGGAAAGGGAAACGCUGGAAUUCGGUGGGGUCGCCGGAGAUUCACCCUUCCCUGGGCUGGGGGUAUUUUUGGCCCGACGGGUCAGCAUCAAUUUUGCCCCUUGGAUAAUGGCGGGGGAAAGGUGACACCUUCGCGGGUGUGUUAUAGUCUCUCUGUCGCAUGCAAGGGUGCUGGGAUUGAGGAACUCAGCACGCGCCCUGGGGCGG
RNAcentral lists this ribosomal RNA (609 nucleotides) under uncultured fungus. Its description in RNAcentral is "partial 28S ribosomal RNA". It matches the Rfam family "Eukaryotic large subunit ribosomal RNA", at positions 24 to 628 of the family's 3401-position model. The record is from RNAcentral. Lineage: Eukaryota; Fungi.